Molecule: ribosomal RNA, 322 nt
Filed under: uncultured gamma proteobacterium B2M18
Lineage: Bacteria; Pseudomonadati; Pseudomonadota; Gammaproteobacteria
Also listed under: 1 other name
Description: bacterial SSU rRNA
Rfam family: Bacterial small subunit ribosomal RNA
Source: RNAcentral
GUCCGCAACGAGCGCAACCCUUGUCCUUAGUUGCCAGCACGUAAUGGUGGGAACUCUAAGGGGACUGCCGGUGAUAAACCGGAGGAAGGUGGGGAUGACGUCAAGUCAUCAUGGCCCUUAUGGGCUGGGCUACACACGUGCUACAAUGGUCGGUACAGAGGGUCGCGAACCCGCGAGGGGAAGCCAAUCCCAGAAAGCCGAUCUUAGUCCGGAUCGCAGGCUGCAACUCGACUGCGUGAAGUCGGAAUCGCUAGUAAUCGCGAAUCAGCAAUGUCGCGGUGAAUACGUUCCCGGGCCUUGUACACACCGCCCGUCACACCAU